UCCCGGCUAACUACNUGCCAGCAUCCGNGGUAAGACNUAGGGGACGAGCGUUGUCCGGAUUUAUUGNGCGUAAAGCGCGCGUAGGCGGCUAUGCAAGUCGGUUGUGAAAUCCNGGNGCUCAACCCCGGGACUGCGUCCGGUACUGUGUGGCUAGAGGUAGGUAGGGGAGAUCGGAAUUCCUGGUGUAGCGGUGAAAUGCGCAGAUAUCAGGAGGAACACCGGUGGCGAAGGCGGAUCUCUGGGCCUUACCUGACGCUCAGGCGCGAAAGCUAGGGGAGCGAACAGGAUUAGAUACCCUGNUAGUCCUAGCCGUAAACGUUGGGUGCUAGGUGUGGGCGGAUAU
RNAcentral lists this ribosomal RNA (343 nucleotides) under uncultured Frankia sp. Its description in RNAcentral is "partial 16S ribosomal RNA". It matches the Rfam family "Bacterial small subunit ribosomal RNA", at positions 491 to 833 of the family's 1533-position model. The record is from RNAcentral. Lineage: Bacteria; Bacillati; Actinomycetota; Actinomycetes; Frankiales; Frankiaceae.